Molecule: ribosomal RNA, 396 nt
Filed under: uncultured bacterium
Lineage: Bacteria
Description: partial 16S ribosomal RNA
Rfam family: Bacterial small subunit ribosomal RNA
Source: RNAcentral
CCUACGGGGGGCAGCAGUGAGGAAUAUUGGUCAAUGGGCGGGAGCCUGAACCAGCCAAGUCGCGUGAGGGACGACGGUCCUAUGGAUUGUAAACCUCUUUUGUCGGGGAACAAAGGCGUCCACGGGUGGGCGGAUGAGUGUACCCGAAGAAAAAGCAUCGGCUAACUCCGUGCCAGCAGCCUCGGUAAUACGGGGGAUGCGAGCGUUAUCCGGAUUUAUUGGGGUUAAAGGGUGCGUAGGGGGACAGCAAAGUCAGCGGGAAAAAUGCGGUGCUAAACGCCGUACAGCCGUUGAAACUGGUAGUCUAGAGUGGGCGAGAAGUAUGCGGAAUGCGUGGUGUAGCGGUGAAAUGCAUAGAUAUCACGCAGAACUCCGAUUGCGAAGGCAGCAUACCGG